RNAcentral lists this ribosomal RNA (420 nucleotides) under bacterium. RNAcentral describes it as "partial 16S ribosomal RNA". It matches the Rfam family "Bacterial small subunit ribosomal RNA", at positions 355 to 776 of the family's 1533-position model. The record is from RNAcentral.
UGGGGGAUAUUGCACAAUGGGCGAAAGCCUGAUGCAGCGACGCCGCGUGGGGGAUGAAGGCUUUCGGGUUGUAAACCUCUUUCGCUAUCGAACAAGGCCCGCUUAGGGUGGGUUGAGGGUAGGUGGAGAAGAAGCGCCGGCUAACUACGUGCCAGCAGCCGCGGUAAUACGUAGGGCGCGAGCGUUGUUCGGAAUAAUUGGGCGUAAAGGGCUUGUAGGCGGCUUGUUGCGCCUGCUGUGAAAACGCGGGGCUUAACUUCGCGCGUGCAGUGGGUACGGGCAGGCUUGAGUGUGGUAGGGGUGACUGGAAUUCCAGGUGUAGCGGUGGAAUGCGCAGAUAUCUGGAGGAACACCGAUGGCGAAGGCAGGUCACUGGGCCAUUACUGACGCUGAGGAGCGAAAGCAUGGGUAGCGAACAGG